This 96-nucleotide transfer RNA is filed under the name Crassvirales sp. RNAcentral describes it as "tRNA-OTHER". It matches the Rfam family "tRNA". From Rfam's summary of the family: Transfer RNA (tRNA) molecules are approximately 80 nucleotides in length. Their secondary structure includes four short double-helical elements and three loops (D, anti-codon, and T loops). Lineage: Duplodnaviria; Heunggongvirae; Uroviricota; Caudoviricetes; Crassvirales. The record is from RNAcentral.
GGACUUGUAGCUCAGAUGGGUAGAGCAUACGUUAAUAAAAUAUGAAGGACAUAUUUAAUAAUGUAAAGGUUGUAGGUUCAAAUCCUAUCAAGUCCA